UGCGAGAAAAGUAAUCGAAGAAUCGAGAGUACGGAAUUCUUUUAUAAGCCGGAUCUUAUAUGUCCGGAUCAAUUACGAUUAAUAAAAUAAAAAUAGUCGCGCAAAGCCAGGAUCGAGAAUUAUAUUUCCACCGAUUAAUUAUGUUGCGGCGACACCGUGAACCCUGUCUGUCCAUCGAUCUUCGUGCACGUUCGGUGGUGGUCGGUAGCGAUCGGCCUGAUUCGCGCGCAACUUCGCAAGCGCGGAAAGGGCGGUGGGGCUCGCGAAGUUUCGGCCGUGGCGCUUUCGUUCAUUCGUCGUUCUGCGCUCUGUGCGCUCGUUUAUCGCGUGAUCGCGGUUCGGUUUUAACGUGUGUCGCGUGUUACGUUUAUUCGAUCGAUCGUCAUUGUAAAUAAUAAUAUCCGUGAAAUCGAUUCUUGACCGUUUCAAGUAUCGAUACUGUGUAGGAAGAAGAAUGUGCAUCGUUCCCCCGGUGAGAAAACAAUUCGAACGUGAAGAGUGUUCCGAACGUUAUUGAAGUUUGAGAUUACAACAUGGCAGUUCAAUAUCGAUAAAGAAAUUGUAAGAUCGAUACGAUUAAGUUGAACCAGUGAUUUUUUAAUAGAGUUUAACGUAUUAUAUCAAUCGAACGAAUGAUAUAAUGGUUAAAUGAUAAAGGGAAAAGUGUAUUCGAAGAACGAAAAGUAUUAUCGUAGUGUAUUUUGCUACGUUUUUAAACGCGAAGAAAAAUCUAUUGGCUGUUGUCGAGAUCAGGUUAGUCAUGUAAAAUUACGUAUCAUUUUACGAAUAUCAUGUGUCGAGUGUGAUAUAUACGAAUUAUUGAAAUUAGAAUCGAUGCGUAAAGUAUUUUGUGCUUUGUUGUAAGUGAAUUUACGAAAAAAAAAAAAAAAAAAGAAAAAAUCAAAGUUAUUAUGUAUAAAAUAUUAACUAACAAAAGCAGUUUUUAGUGAUGCAACCUAUAUAAUACUAUAUAAACGUAUAAAACCUACUCGAUCACCAUAAUGUCUAAAAUGUCGUGCUUAAUUUUUAUUAAUUUUUCCUCCGUUUCGAAUGCGCAUUACCAUUCUAUUCUCUUUAUGAUGAGAUUUAACGAUAUAACCUCGAUAUUUAAAUUAAAAUGUAUAUAAUCUUUCGUGAUUUAGUUCGGAAUGGCCAAUUUUACGCGAACCUCUUUCACAAUUUAUUAUUAUUUCCUAAAUUCAUUUCUUUUAUAUCUCCCGUUCUUUCGAUCUCUUUUCUUAUUUCCGAGUCGAAAUAUAAAUGUUUCGUCACAAGUACUUUAGAAUAAAAAUUCUCAAGCAAGAAAAUUCUUUGUUCGCGAGGUAUUCUGUAUAAACAAUGAUAAUGUAAUACGAAUGAAUAUUCAUGACAAUACGCGACGGUUGAAAUGUUUUUUAGACUUCCGUCGACCAUCAUUUCUUUUUCACUUCUUCGCGAAAGAACUUGCUACGAAACUAAUGCUUAUAUCUGCUUUUUUUUUGUAAUGUUCAAAAAUAUGUUUC
Long non-coding RNA from Apis florea (little honeybee), 1502 nucleotides. NCBI's taxonomy places the organism in Eukaryota, Metazoa, Arthropoda, Insecta, Hymenoptera, Apidae. The record is from RefSeq and is a predicted model, not a curated record.